GGCCCCAAUAUCAAAAUUAUACCUAUAAUAGAGGUCAGUCUGAUCAACCUAUCUAGCCAUAAUAUCACAAUCAGCCAUCAUACCCACCUCUUCAACAAAUCAAUCUAGCCGAUGAUAGGUUUACUCAACUUCAACAACUGAUUAUGACCUAAUAGCAAUCUAUCAUCUGGCUAGAAGCUGAAAUAGGAUAGUUAGCUAAGUCCACCAUGAGGAAAGAACCAGUCAAUUAUCAAGCCAAUCGAU
RNAcentral lists this long non-coding RNA (243 nucleotides) under Elaeis guineensis (African oil palm). RNAcentral describes it as "long non-coding RNA (EGUI_LNC070048)". The record is from RNAcentral. Lineage: Eukaryota; Viridiplantae; Streptophyta; Magnoliopsida; Arecales; Arecaceae.